RNAcentral lists this ribosomal RNA (1026 nucleotides) under uncultured bacterium. RNAcentral describes it as "bacterial SSU rRNA". It matches the Rfam family "Bacterial small subunit ribosomal RNA", at positions 356 to 1375 of the family's 1533-position model. The record is from RNAcentral.
AGGGAAUCUUCGGCAAUGGGGGCAACCCUGACCGAGCAACGCCGCGUGAGUGAAGAAGGUUUUCGGAUCGUAAAGCUCUGUUGUAAGUCAAGAACGAGUGUGAGAGUGGAAAGUUCACACUGUGACGGUAGCUUACCAGAAAGGGACGGCUAACUACGUGCCAGCAGCCGCGGUAAUACGUAGGUCCCGAGCGUUGUCCGGAUUUAUUGGGCGUAAAGCGAGCGCAGGCGGUUUGAUAAGUCUGAAGUUAAAGGCUGUGGCUCAACCAUAGUUCGCUUUGGAAACUGUCAAACUUGAGUGCAGAAGGGGAGAGUGGAAUUCCAUGUGUAGCGGUGAAAUGCGUAGAUAUAUGGAAGAACACCAGUGGCGAAGGCGGCUCUCUGGUCUGCAACUGACGCUGAGGCUCGAAAGCAUGGGUAGCGAACAGGAUUAGAUACCCUGGUAGUCCAUGCCGUAAACGAUGAGUGCUAAGUGUUGGGAGGUUUCCGCCUCUCAGUGCUGCAGCUAACGCAUUAAGCACUCCGCCUGGGGAGUACGACCGCAAGGUUGAAACUCAAAGGAAUUGACGGGGGCCCGCACAAGCGGUGGAGCAUGUGGUUUAAUUCGAAGCAACGCGAAGAACCUUACCAGGUCUUGACAUCUAGUGCAAUCCGUAGAGAUACGGAGUUCCCUUCGGGGACACUAAGACAGGUGGUGCAUGGCUGUCGUCAGCUCGUGUCGUGAGAUGUUGGGUUAAGUCCCGCAACGAGCGCAACCCUUGUCAUUAGUUGCCAGCAUUAAGUUGGGCACUCUAAUGAGACUGCCGGUGACAAACCGGAGGAAGGUGGGGAUGACGUCAAGUCAUCAUGCCCCUUAUGACCUGGGCUACACACGUGCUACAAUGGACAGUACAACGAGGAGCAAGCCUGCGAAGGCAAGCGAAUCUCUUAAAGCUGUUCUCAGUUCGGACUGCAGUCUGCAACUCGACUGCACGAAGCUGGAAUCGCUAGUAAUCGCGGAUCAGCACGCCGCGGUGAAUACGUUCCC